UAGUGGCGAACGGGUGAGUAACACGUGGGCAAUCUGCCCUUCACUCUGGGACAAGCCCUGGAAACGGGGUCUAAUACCGGAUAUCACUUCUGCUCGCAUGGGUGGGGGUUGAAAGCUCCGGCGGUGAAGGAUGAGCCCGCGGCCUAUCAGCUUGUUGGUGAGGUAGUGGCUCACCAAGGCGACGACGGGUAGCCGGCCUGAGAGGGCGACCGGCCACACUGGGACUGAGACACGGCCCAGACUCCUACGGGAGGCAGCAGUGGGGAAUAUUGCACAAUGGGCGGAAGCCUGAUGCAGCGACGCCGCGUGAGGGAUGACGGCCUUCGGGUUGUAAACCUCUUUCAGCAGGGAAGAAGCGUAAGUGACGGUACCUGCAGAAGAAGCGCCGGCUAACUACGUGCCAGCAGCCGCGGUAAUACGUAGGGCGCAAGCGUUGUCCGGAAUUAUUGGGCGUAAAGAGCUCGUAGGCGGCUUGUCACGUCGGGUGUGAAAGCCCGGGGCUUAACCCCGGGUCUGCAUUCGAUACGGGCUGGCUGGAGUGUGGNAGGGGAGAUCGGAAUUCCU
RNAcentral lists this ribosomal RNA (564 nucleotides) under Streptomyces sp. 413A10. RNAcentral describes it as "bacterial SSU rRNA". It matches the Rfam family "Bacterial small subunit ribosomal RNA", at positions 93 to 671 of the family's 1533-position model. The record is from RNAcentral. Lineage: Bacteria; Bacillati; Actinomycetota; Actinomycetes; Kitasatosporales; Streptomycetaceae.